RNAcentral lists this ribosomal RNA (259 nucleotides) under uncultured prokaryote. Its description in RNAcentral is "partial 16S ribosomal RNA". It matches the Rfam family "Bacterial small subunit ribosomal RNA", at positions 524 to 782 of the family's 1533-position model. The record is from RNAcentral.
UACGUAGGUGGCGAGCGUUAUCCGGAAUUAUUGGGCGUAAAGAGCGCGCAGGUGGUUGAUUAAGUCUGAUGUGAAAGCCCACGGCUUAACCGUGGAGGGUCAUUGGAAACUGGGAGACUUGAGUGCAGAAGAGAAGAGUGGAAUUCCAUGUGUAGCGGUGAAAUGCGUAGAGAUAUGGAGGAACACCAGUGGCGAAGGAGACUCUUUGGUCUGUAACUGACGCUGAGGCGCGAAAGCGUGGGGAGCAAACAGGAUUAGA